AGAGUUUGAUCAUGGCUCAGAACGAACGCUGGCGGCAUGCCUAACACAUGCAAGUCGAACGAGAAAGUUUCCUUCGGGGAACUAGUAAAGUGGCGCAAGGGUGAGUAACACGUGAAUAAUCUGCCUACGAAUUCGGGAUAACUCGGCGAAAGUUGUGCUAAUACCGGAUAAGACCACACUCCUAAUGGAGCGUGGCCAAAGGAGUCUCAAACUCCGUUUGUAGAUGAGUUCGCGGACCAUUAGCUUGUUGGCGGGAUAACAGCCCACCAAGGCGACGAUGGUUAGCCGGCCUGAGAGGGCGAUCGGCCACACUGGAACUGAGACACGGUCCAGACUCCUACGGGAGGCAGCAGUGGGGAAUAUUGCGCAAUGGGCGAAAGCCUGACGCAGCAAUGCCGCGUGAGGGAUGAAGGCUUUUGAGUCGUAAACCUCUGUCGGAUGGGAAGAAUAAUGACGGUACCAUCAGAGGAAGCCCCGGCUAACUCCGUGCCAGCAGCCGCGGUAAUACGGAGGGGGCAAGCGUUGUUCGGAAUUAUUGGGCGUAAAGAGUAUGUAGGCGGCUUAUUAAGUCAGGCGUGUAAGCCCACGGCUCAACCGUGGAAUUGCGUUUGAAACUAUUAGGCUUGAGUACAGGAGAGGAAGGCGGAAUUCCCAGUGUAGCGGUGAAAUGCAUUGAUAUUG
Molecule: ribosomal RNA, 681 nt
Filed under: uncultured bacterium
Lineage: Bacteria
Description: bacterial SSU rRNA
Rfam family: Bacterial small subunit ribosomal RNA
Source: RNAcentral